This 501-nucleotide ribosomal RNA is filed under the name uncultured bacterium. Its description in RNAcentral is "partial 16S ribosomal RNA". It matches the Rfam family "Bacterial small subunit ribosomal RNA", at positions 30 to 523 of the family's 1533-position model. The record is from RNAcentral.
AUUGAACGCUGGCGGCAGGCUUAACACAUGCAAGUCGAGCGGGGGAAGGUAGCUUGCUACCGGACCUAGCGGCGGACGGGUGAGUAAUGCUUAGGAAUCUGCCUAUUAGUGGGGGACAACAUCUCGAAAGGGAUGCUAAUACCGCAUACGUCCUACGGGAGAAAGCAGGGGAUCUUCGGACCUUGCGCUAAUAGAUGAGCCUAAGUCGGAUUAGCUAGUUGGUGGGGUAAAGGCCUACCAAGGCGACGAUCUGUAGCGGGUCUGAGAGGAUGAUCCGCCACGCUGGGACUGAGACACGGCCCAGACUCCUACGGGAGGCAGCGGUGGGGAAUAUUGGACAAAGGGGGGAACCCUGAUCCAGCCAUGCCGCGUGUGGGAAGAAGGCCUUAUGGUUGUAAAGCACUUUAAGCGAGGAGGAGGCUACUCUAGUUAAUACCUAGGGAUAGUGGACGUUACUCGCAGAAUAAGCACCGGCUAACUCUGUGCCAGCCGCCGCCGUAA